This 496-nucleotide ribosomal RNA is filed under the name uncultured bacterium. RNAcentral's name for it is "partial 16S ribosomal RNA". It matches the Rfam family "Bacterial small subunit ribosomal RNA", at positions 28 to 506 of the family's 1533-position model. The record is from RNAcentral.
GAUGAACGCUGGCGGCGUGCCUAAUACAUGCAAGUCGAGCGAACAGACGAGGAGCUUACUCCUCUGACGUUAGCGGCGGACGGGUGAGUAACACGUGGAUAACCUACCUAUAAGACUGGGAUAACUUCGGGAAACCGGAGCUAAUACCGGAUAACAUGUUGAACCGCAUGGUUCAACAGUGAAAGACGGUCUUGCUGUCACUUAUAGAUGGAUCCGCGUCGCAUUAGCUAGUUGGUAAGGUAACGGCUUACCAAGGCAACGAUGCGUAGCCGACCUGAGAGGGUGAUCGGCCACACUGGAACUGAGACACGGUCCAGACUCCUACGGGAGGCAGCAGUAGGGAAUCUGCCGCAAUGGGCGAAAGCCUGACGGAGCAACGCCGCGUGAGUGAAGAAGGUCUUCGGAUCGUAAAACUCUGUUAUUAGGGAAGAACAAAUGUGUAAGUAACUAUGCACGUCUUGACGGUACCUAAUCAGAAAGCCACGGCUAACUACGU